RNAcentral lists this transfer RNA (69 nucleotides) under Blatta orientalis (oriental cockroach). Its description in RNAcentral is "tRNA-Phe". The record is from RNAcentral. Lineage: Eukaryota; Metazoa; Arthropoda; Insecta; Blattodea; Blattidae.
ACUUGAAUAGCUUAUAUUAUUUAGAGCAUAACAUUGAAGAUGUUAAUGAGAUUAUGAAAUCUUUAAGUA